GAUGAACGCUGGCGGCGUGCCUAAUACAUGCAAGUCGAGCGAAUGGAUUAAGAGCUUGCUCUUAUGAAGUUAGCGGCGGACGGGUGAGUAACACGUGGGUAACCUACCCAUAAGACUGGGAUAACUCCGGGAAACCGGGGCUAAUACCGGAUAAUAUUUUGAACUGCAUAGUUCGAAAUUGAAAGGCGGCUUCGGCUGUCACUUAUGGAUGGACCCGCGUCGCAUUAGCUAGUUGGUGAGGUAACGGCUCACCAAGGCGACGAUGCGUAGCCGACCUGAGAGGGUGAUCGGCCACACUGGGACUGAGACACGGCCCAGACUCCUACGGGAGGCAGCAGUAGGGAAUCUUCCGCAAUGGACGAAAGUCUGACGGAGCAACGCCGCGUGAGUGAUGAAGGCUUUCGGGUCGUAAAACUCUGUUGUUAGGGAAGAACAAGUGCUAGUUGAAUAAGCUGGCACCUUGACGGUACCUAACCAGAAAGCCACGGCUAACUACGUGCCAGCAGCCGCGGUAAUACGUAGGUGGCAAGCGUUAUCCGGAAUUAUUGGGCGUAAAGCGCGCGCAGGUGGUUUCUUAAGUCUGAUGUGAAAGCCCACGGCUCAACCGUGGAGGGUCAUUGGAAACUGGGAGACUUGAGUGCAGAAGAAGAAAGUGGAAUUCCAUGUG
RNAcentral lists this ribosomal RNA (667 nucleotides) under uncultured Eubacteriales bacterium. Its description in RNAcentral is "bacterial SSU rRNA". It matches the Rfam family "Bacterial small subunit ribosomal RNA", at positions 28 to 675 of the family's 1533-position model. Lineage: Bacteria; Bacillati; Bacillota; Clostridia; Eubacteriales. The record is from RNAcentral.